Molecule: unclassified non-coding RNA, 495 nt
Filed under: Bambusa textilis
Lineage: Eukaryota; Viridiplantae; Streptophyta; Magnoliopsida; Poales; Poaceae
Description: partial psbA-trnH intergenic spacer
Source: RNAcentral
GGCUUUUCUACUAACAUAUAGGAAUUUUUGAAGGAAGGAAAGCCAGAAAUACCCAAUAUCUUGUUCCAGCAAGAUAUUGGGUAUUUCGUAUUUGUUUGUUUUUUUUUAUUUUGAAUCUUUCUAUUCUGAAUUCAGUUAACGACGAGAUUUAGUAUCUUUUCUUGCACUUUCAUAACUCGUGAAAUGCCGAGUAGGCACGAAUUCCCCCAAUUUGCGACCUACCAUAGGAUUUGUUAUGUAAAUAGGUAUAUGUUCCUUUCCAUUAUGAAUCGCGAUUGUAUGGCCAACCAUUGCGGGUAGAAUGCUAGAUGCCCGGGACCACGUUACUAUUGUUUCUUUCUCCUCCUUCAUAUUGACCUUUUCGAUUUUUGCCAAUAAAUGAUGAGCUACAAAAGGAUUCGUUUUUUUUCGUGUCACAGCUGAUUACUCCUUUUUCCAUUUUAAAGAGUGGCAUUCUAUGUCCAAUAUCUCGAUCGAAGUAUGGAGGUCAGAAUA